This 2238-nucleotide long non-coding RNA is filed under the name Pandoravirus celtis. Its description in RNAcentral is "hypothetical ncRNA". The record is from RNAcentral.
CGCGUGUUGUUGGUGCCUGUUUGCCUCCUUGAUCGCGAGGUGUGGGUCGCGCUCUGGUAUCGUGCGGUAGACAAAUUUGACAAUGCCGAGGUGACCGCCUUGGAUGGCCUCGUACAUGAUCAUUGGGCACAUGCCCGGACGCACGCCCUCGGCGUAGAUGUAGCGCAUGGCCGCAAGGUGGCCGGCACGCGCCGCCUGGCCCCAAGCGUCCACCCAUGGGUCGGGCGGACCCCCCACCGCAUUGCGGGCGGUCUCGCUGCCGGGAAUGUCAACAUAACCGGGAGGAGGGUGACGACAACUGUGGUAGCCGGUACGCUGACCAAAUGCGGGAUCGCGCAACAGGCGCAGCGUCGACACGUGCCCACCAGCCAAGGCUGCGCCCAUGGGGUGCGCUCUCUGCCACACAUGUGGAUCGACACCGGUGCGACGCGCCAGCCAGUCGAGGACAUCAUCGCGACCAGCGCCCGCGGCCGACCGGAUGGAUGCAACGAUGACAUCAAUCAGUGACAUGUAAUCCGUCGGCUUGUCCAUGCACCAUGCGACAAUGUCAAUAUGCCCUGCGGCCGCCGCAGCGCCGGCCAUACGUGCGCGCGUAUCUGUGCGACAACUCUUGUGCCGCAUAACCAGUUUGAUGGUGGCCAAGUUGCCAGUGGCUGCGGCGGCCGUCAGUGCCUCGCAAACACGUGACUCUGUCGCUGCAUGCAGGACCCAGCCAAUGUGCGCCACCAUGGCAGUAUGGCCGGCCGCUAUGGCUAGGAUCGCGCCAUCGAUGGUAUGUCUCUCACGACGCUCGAUGGACGCAGGAUCGGCGGGCGCCGUAAGAGACGCCGUCUCAACACAAAAAGAAUAGGCAUCCACGCAGCCACCGGCGACGGCGGCAUAGAUCAUGUCGUCGGCAUGCCGCUCAAAGAGCGUCGGAUAAACUUUGGCCAGCAUACGCAACACGUCAAUGUGUCUGCCGCGCGCCGCACCGACAAAGGCCGCUUCAGACGGCACAUAAGGCACUUGCAUUUGCGCUGUAAUCCGCUGGGCGACUUCAAUACGACCAUGGGCGAGCGCGGCGUCGGCCGCGCGCUGCAGGCCCUCGGCACAAUGAGCCGAUUGAUGGUCUAGGAGGAAAAGAACCACGUCAAAGUGCCUUGCCUCGGCGGCGUCGGCGAUGGCACGCCAGGUGCACCCUUCGGUCCGUUUUUCGUCGAGGUAGACGACGGCACCAAGAUGGCCUUUAGCAGCAGCGGCGUCCAUCGCGCGAUGAUCGCCUGGCUGCCUCACGGGACACUCGUCGGUGAGUGCACGCAACAUGGCCACGUCGCCGUUGGCUGCCGCUGCGGCCAGGGCCACUGCUGUCGAACCCUCGCGGCGAUUACGCAAGAGGUAGGCGACAACAUCUAGAUGGCCGUUGGCGGCGGCGCGAUUGACACCACCCACCGAGCACCCCUCGGUACGCCUCUCGUGCAGGUAGAUAAGGACGUCUAGGUGACCGUUGGCCGCGGCAUAGUCCAUGGCCCGCCGGGUGCAUCCCUCGGUGCGAUGGCGGUGGAGAAAGUCGACAAUAGCCAGAUGGCCGCGGGCUGCGGCGCGAUUCAUGGCAUACGUCGUGCACCCUUCUCGGCGGUGAUGGUGCAAAAAGACAAUGACGUCCAGGUGACCACCAUCGGCGGCACAGUCCAUCACACCCUGGUCGAAUCCAGGCGCGCCCAUUUCGUGCAGCGCCACAAGGAGACCAAGAUGGCCGCGGUAGGCGGCCAAACACGGCGCCUCUGUAUAGUCGCCCAGGUCGAGGCGGCCCAGCGCCACGAGGCCGCGGAUGGCCGUCGCAUUGCCCGCGUCCAAUAAAUCCGACGGACCCGACCAGGACCGCGAGAUCACGAUGCGCCGCGCAUAGUCGGCCGGCGAGUGGGCGCGCCACAGGCGUGACGCCGCUAUGCACGCACAAAAGUCGGUGUUGCCGAGGAGACUCGUGAUCCCGUUGAUGAUCUCGGGCGGCAAGUCAUAGAGGCUCGUCAGACAUGCUUGCGGCCACUCCAUGUUUUGUUUUUUUUUGUAUUGUUCUUGUAUUGUUGUUUUUCAGACCCACCCUUAAAACUUUUUGUGUGCCCCCCUUUUUUGUUGCUGCGGGCCUUGCGCAAGGCCCGCCCAACAACAAAAAUGACAGAGCAAACCGCUCACGGCAAGGCAGGCGCCCGCGCACAGCGUUGGUUUUUAAAAAAAAUAUAUAUUUGUGCCGGUCACGGAUCA